GGGAAUGAUUGGGCGGCUGGUGCCCUCCGCGGUCUUCAAAACCGACGGGAUUUACACAAUAAAUCCGGUGAGUUCGAUUCUCACGCGUUCCCG
Molecule: transfer RNA, 93 nt
Filed under: Fidelibacterota bacterium
Lineage: Bacteria; Pseudomonadati; Fidelibacterota
Description: tRNA-Sec
Rfam family: Selenocysteine transfer RNA
Source: RNAcentral